UGCCUACGGGGCGCAGCAGUGAGGAAUAUUGGUCAAUGGUCGGGAGACUGAACCAGCCAAGCCGCGUGAGGGAUGAAGGUACAGAGUAUCGUAAACCUCUUUUGUCAGGGAGCAAUGCCGGGCACGCGUGCCCGGAGGGAGAGUACCCGCAGAAUAAGCAUCGGCUAACUCCGUGCCAGCAGCCGCGGUAAUACGGAGGAUGCGAGCGUUAUCCGGAUUUAAUGGGUUUAAAGGGUGCGUAGGCGGAUUUUUAAGUCAGCGGUAAAAUGUCCGGGCUCAACCC
RNAcentral lists this ribosomal RNA (283 nucleotides) under uncultured bacterium. RNAcentral's name for it is "partial 16S ribosomal RNA". It matches the Rfam family "Bacterial small subunit ribosomal RNA", at positions 335 to 615 of the family's 1533-position model. The record is from RNAcentral.